AUGUUGCCGCAUGGCGAUAUGAGCAAAGAUUCAUCGGUAAGGGAUGGGGAUGCGUAUGAUUAGCUUGUUGGCGGGGUAACGGCCCACCAAGGCAACGAUCAUUAGGGGUUCUGAGAGGAAGGUCCCCCACACUGGAACUGAGACACGGUCCAGACUCCUACGGGAGGCAGCAGUGAGGAAUAUUGGUCAAUGGAGGGCAACUCUGAACCAGCCAAGUAGCGUGCAGGAUGACGGCCCUAUGGGUUGUAAACUGCUUUUAUGCGGGGAUAAAUGAUCCUACGUGUAGGUUUUUGCAGGUACCGCAUGAAUAAGGACCGGCUAAUUCCGUG
This 329-nucleotide ribosomal RNA is filed under the name uncultured bacterium. RNAcentral's name for it is "bacterial SSU rRNA". It matches the Rfam family "Bacterial small subunit ribosomal RNA", at positions 181 to 507 of the family's 1533-position model. The record is from RNAcentral.